GGCUGUAUUGAUGGCAAGUCCUUGGGGAGGUCUCUGAGGCGAGGCAAGGAGACCACAGCUCUGGAGAGGUCAGAGAGCACAGGACCAGGGCAGGGCGAGGAGUUAGGGUUGCUAUUAGCUUGGUCACUUUCUUGCCAGUUUACUUAAGUGCAAAAUUGUGCAACUCAAAAGCAGUAACUGAUUUACUCAACCUCACUGAGCGCGGUGGACUUGUCCAACUUGAGCGCUCUGCACGGAAUUGUUCAUCUCCCCUCUCUGCAGCCGGACUUCCGGUCUAGGUAUUGAUUCAGACUUCCUGCUUCACAUGUGCCUUUACGUCAGCUGGGGGCGCUCAGUAGGGCCAGACACAGUGACGGGCUGAGAAAUUUCUUGCUAGCCUCUGCCUUGUAGGCUACUGUGUGGGCUUUGUGGAACCUUCUCGUCUAAGCUGUGUGUUCAUUGGACAGACCCAGUGCAGCACAGGAUACUUACCAGGUACUGUUCUAGGCACAGAGGACACAGCUGUAGCAGGCAGGCCUGCUGUGCGCCGAGCUGUGUCCCGGGCACAUCCGGUUCAGGGCCCAGAGGCGGGCAGUUCGGGAAGCGUGGACGGCCGCGUGUCUGCUUCGCUGCCUCUUGGAGAGGCCUGACUCGGCGCAGGUGCCGCCAGGAGGUCCUGAGGUUCUUGGUUUCUAGAGUCCUUCCAUGUGCCCAUCAUUGCUUCUGUGACUGCAGCUCCGGCUGGUGGGACCCCAUCUUCUAACAGGAGACUAGAGGAAGGGACUGGCGCCGCUUCAUGGCUUCUUCUGUCUGGAGGAUGCCCUUUGCAGACACAGUGCUGCCGGGCUCCACAGCCUCCAGGGCUGAGGCUGCAGGUGAGGCCCCUCCAUGCCUUCUGGGAAGCUGGCCACACCUUCUGACAUAGCCAGCACUGCUCAGAGCUCUCCAACUUUGUGCCGCUUUGGGGCAUUCUGGGCCAAUUACUACUUUCGAUGCACUCUAAUAUGUUCUGAUGUCUGACAAUGACCCAUGAACUUGAUUGCAGGACCCACAGUGAAUGAAGCAUGGUCCUCAGACUGAGAGACAUUUCAUUCUCGGUACUCAGUUCUUUGGUACCUAUAAUGGAAGGCAUUUUUCUAUGAGGACAUUUAUAUUCAUGUAUAUUAUAGAUGUAAUUUUAAGUGUGAUCCUUCUCUGCUCUUUUCUAAUGUGCUUUCCUGUAUUUAACUGUUUCUCAUGUGAGAAUGAAUGUGCUUUAGUCCUAACAUCUGCAUAGUAUUCCAUCACAUCCUGUUCACCUAAUUUCAUUAACCAAUUAAACUCCUGAUGGGCAUUUGUCUUAUUUCUAGUUAUUUUGCUCCCGAUGAGCAUGUUUACCUACUUGGGGGAUUAAUGCUUUGAGUCUUCUAUGGGAGAUGGGUUUUAUUUAGUGAGAGAUAUCUAGAUUUUGGAAACAUUG
This 1438-nucleotide long non-coding RNA is filed under the name Heterocephalus glaber (naked mole-rat). Its description in RNAcentral is "lncRNA (ENSHGLG00100040890.1)". Lineage: Eukaryota; Metazoa; Chordata; Mammalia; Rodentia; Bathyergidae. The record is from RNAcentral.